RNAcentral lists this unclassified non-coding RNA (329 nucleotides) under soil metagenome. RNAcentral describes it as "partial contains 5.8S ribosomal RNA, internal transcribed spacer 2, and large subunit ribosomal RNA". The stretch from base 1 to 120 matches the Rfam family "5.8S ribosomal RNA", at positions 35 to 154 of the family's 154-position model. The record is from RNAcentral.
GAUGAAGAACGCAGCGAAAUGCGAUAAGUAAUGUGAAUUGCAGAAUUCAGUGAAUCAUCGAAUCUUUGAACGCACAUUGCGCCCCUUGGUAUUCCGAGGGGCGUGCCUGUUCGAGCGUCAUUAUAACCCCUCAAGCUCAGCUUGGUGUUGGGGCCUGCUGCACUGGCAGCCCUUAAAAUCAGUGGCGGCGCCAUCUGGCUCUAAGCGUAGUAAUUCUUCUCGCUAUGGAGUCCUGGUGGAUGCUUGCCAUCAACCCCCAAUUUUUCUAUGGUUGACCUCGGAUCAGGUAGGGAUACCCGCUGAACUUAAGCAUAUCAAUAAGCGGAGGA